CUCUCUUCCCACUACAAAUCACAAUUGAUAGAAACAGUUCUAAGAACAAACACACACACCAGGGUUUCAGUUAGGAAAAUGUGGUGCCGGACAACCUGACAGGCAAAACAUGUACCGGUAUUUACCAGACAUCCUAAUGCGUUGUCUGUGUGACGCAUUAGAGCGUCCACCCAAUUCAUCUUAACAGAAUAGAAAUGAGCCUGUAAAGUUGUAAAAAAUAUAUAACAAUGUUCUUAUACCAAAAUGACAGGUUUUAUUGAAAAGCAAAACAUUUCCUGUUGCAUCUUUACCCCUUCUAGAAAUCAGAAAUUAAUAUAGAUUUUUUUAAGACGAAAAUUACAUUUAGCCUAGAACAAGUCACCUACACAGCAAUAAAACUUAAAUAGAAUCAUUUGUGAACGACCUGUCCUAUAGGCUAUUUGUAUGAACAUGUUUAUUAAUAAAGAAAAAAAACUGCUGUUUUCAAAUACAAUCUAGGCCUCUCUAAUCGAACUUUAAAUUUGAAAUAGGCCUAAUAAAUAACAACUGGGGAGAGGUGUUGGAGGAACACCAGGGUCUGCCCCACUCCCACUGCCAUUCAGCACCACAGCAGGGGAAAGAGGCCUAAUAAAUAACUACUGGGGAGAGGUGUUGGAGGAACACCAGGGUCUGGCCCACUCCCACUGCCAUUCAGCACCACAGCAGGGGAAAGAGGCCUAAUAAAUAACUACUGGGGAGAGGUGUUGGAGGAACACCAGGGUCUGGCCCACUCCCACUGCCAUUCAGCACCACAGCAGGGGAAAGAGGCCUAAUAAAUAACUACUGGGGAGAGGUGUUGGAGGAACACCAGGGUCUGCCCCACUCCCACUGCCAUUCAGCACCACAGCAGGGGAAAGAGGCCUAAUAAAUAACUACUGGGGAGAGGUGUUGGAGGAACACCAGGGUCUGGCCCACUCCCACUGCCAUUCAGCACCACAGCAGGGGAAAGAGGCCUAAUAAAUAACAACUGGGGAGAGGUGUUGGAGGAACACCAGGGUCUGGCCCACUCCCACUGCCAUUCAGCACCACAGCAGGGGAAAGAGGCCUAAUAAAUAACUACUGGGGAGAGGUGUUGGAGGAACACCAGGGUCUGGCCCACUCCCACUGCCAUUCAGCACCACAGCAGGGGAAAGAGGCCUAAUAAAUAACUACUGGGGAGAGGUGUUGGAGGAACACCAGGGUCUGCCCCACUCCCACUGCCAUUCAGCACCACAGCAAGGGAAAGAGGCCUAAUAAAUAACUACUGGGGAGAGGUGUUGGAGGAACACCAGGGUCUGCCCCACUCCCACUGCCAUUCAGCACCACAGCAGGGGAAAGAGGCCUAAUAAAUAACUACUGGGGAGAGGUGUUGGAGGAACACCAGGGUCUGCCCCACUCCCACUGCCAUUCAGCACCACAGCAGGGGAAAGAGGCCUAAUAAAUAACAACUGGGGAGAGGUGUUGGAGGAACACCAGGGUCUGGCCCACUCCCACUGCCAUUCAGCACCACAGCAGGGGAAAGAGGCCUAAUAAAUAACUACUGGGGAGAGGUGUUGGAGGAACACCAGGGUCUGCCCCACUCCCACUGCCAUUCAGCACCACAGCAGGGGAAAGAGGCCUAAUAAAUAACAACUGGGGAGAGGUGUUGGAGGAACACCAGGGUCUGGCCCACUCCCACUGCCAUUCAGCACCACAGCAGGGGAAAGAGGCCUAAUAAAUAACAACUGGGGAGAGGUGUUGGAGGAACACCAGGGUCUGGCCCACUCCCACUGCCAUUCAGCACCACAGCAGGGGAAAGAGGCCUAAUAAAUAACAACUGGGGAGAGGUGUUGGAGGAACACCAGGGUCUGGCCCACUCCCACUGCCAUUCAGCACCACAGCAGGGGAAAGAGGCCUAAUAAAUAACUACUGGGGAGAGGUGUUGGAGGAACACCAGGGUCUGGCCCACUCCCACUGCCAUUCAGCACCACAGCAGGGGAAAGAGGCCUAAUAAAUAACUACUGGGGAGAGGUGUUGGAGGAACACCAGGGUCUGCCCCACUCCCACUGCCAUUCAGCACCACAGCAGGGGAAAGAGGCCUAAUAAAUAACAACUGGGGAGAGGUGUUGGAGGAACACCAGGGUCUGGCCCACUCCCACUGCCAUUCAGCACCACAGCAGGGGAAAGAGGCCUAAUAAAUAACUACUGGGGAGAGGUGUUGGAGGAACACCAGGGUCUGGCCCACUCCCACUGCCAUUCAGCACCACAGCAGGGGAAAGAGGCCUAAUAAAUAACUACUGGGGAGAGGUGUUGGAGGAACACCAGGGUCUGGCCCACUCCCACUGCCAUUCAGCACCACAGCAGGGGAAAGAGGCCUAAUAAAUAACUACUGGGGAGAGGUGUUGGAGGAACACCAGGGUCUGGCCCACUCCCACUGCCAUUCAGCACCACAGCAGGGGAAAGAGGCCUAAUAAAUAACAACUGGGGAGAGGUGUUGGAGGAACACCAGGGUCUGGCCCACUCCCACUGCCAUUCAGCACCACAGCAGGGGAAAGAGGCCUAAUAAAUAACUACUGGGGAGAGGUGUUGGAGGAACACCAGGGUCUGGCCCACUCCCACUGCCAUUCAGCACCACAGCAGGGGAAAGAGGCCUAAUAAAUAACUACUGGGGAGAGGUGUUGGAGGAACACCAGGGUCUGGCCCACUCCCACUGCCAUUCAGCACCACAGCAGGGGAAAGAGGCCUAAUAAAUAACUACUGGGGAGAGGUGUUGGAGGAACACCAGGGUCUGGCCCACUCCCACUGCCAUGCAGCACCACAGCAGGAGAAAGAGGCCUAAUAAAUAACAACUGGGGAGAGGUGUUGGAGGAACACCAGGGUCUGGCCCACUCCCACUGCCAUUCAGCACCACAGCAGGGGAAAGAGGCCUAAUAAAUAACUACUGGGGAGAGGUGUUGGAGGAACACCAGGGUCUGGCCCACUCCCACUGCCAUUCAGCACCACAGCAGGGGAAAGAGGCCUAAUAAAUAACUACUGGGGAGAGGUGUUGGAGGAACACCAGGGUCUGGCCCACUCCCACUGCCAUUCAGCACCACAGCAGGGGAAAGAGGCCUAAUAAAUAACUACUGGGGAGAGGUGUUGGAGGAACACCAGGGUCUGGCCCACUCCCACUGCCAUUCAGCACCACAGCAGGGGAAAGAGGCCUAAUAAAUAACAACUGGGGAGAGGUGUUGGAGGAACACCAGGGUCUGGCCCACUCCCACUGCCAUUCAGCACCACAGCAGGGGAAAGAGGCCUAAUAAAUAACUACUGGGGAGAGGUGUUGGAGGAACACCAGGGUCUGCCCCACUCCCACUGCCAUUCAGCACCACAGCAGGGGAAAGAGGCCUAAUAAAUAACAACUGGGGAGAGGUGUUGGAGGAACACCAGGGUCUGGCCCACUCCCACUGCCAUGCAGCACCACAGCAGGAGAAAGAGGCCUAAUAAAUAACUACUGGGGAGAGGUGUUGGAGGAACACCAGGGUCUGGCCCACUCCCACUGCCAUUCAGCACCACAGCAGGAGAAAGAGGCCUAAUAAAUAACAACUGGGGAGAGGUGUUGGAGGAACACCAGGGUCUGGCCCACUCCCACUGCCAUUCAGCACCACAGCAGGGGAAAGAGGCCUAAUAAAUAACUACUGGGGAGAGGUGUUGGAGGAACACCAGGGUCUGCCCCACUCCCACUGCCAUUCAGCACCACAGCAGGGGAAAGAGGCCUAAUAAAUAACUACUGGGGAGAGGUGUUGGAGGAACACCAGGGUCUGCCCCACUCCCACUGCCAUUCAGCACCACAGCAGGGGAAAGAGGCCUAAUAAAUAACUACUGGGGAGAGGUGUUGGAGGAACACCAGGGUCUGGCCCACUCCCACUGCCAUUCAGCACCACAGCAGGAGAAAGAGGCCUAGUAAAUAACAACUGGGGAGAGGUGUUGGAGGAACACCAGGGCCGGUCUGCCCCACUCCCACUGCCAUUCAGCACCACAGCAGGAGAAAGAGGCCUAAUAAAUAACAACUGGGGAGAGGUGUUGGAGGAACACCAGGGUCUGCCCCACUCCCACUGCCAUUCAGCACCACAGCAGGGGAAAGAGGCCUAAUAAAUAACUACUGGGGAGAGGUGUUGGAGGAACACCAGGGUCUGGCCCACUCCCACUGCCAUUCAGCACCACAGCAGGGGAAAGAGGCCUAAUAAAUAACUACUGGGGAGAGGUGUUGGAGGAACACCAGGGUCUGGCCCACUCCCACUGCCAUUCAGCACCACAGCAGGGGAAAGAGGCCUAAUAAAUAACUACUGGGGAGAGGUGUUGGAGGAACACCAGGGUCUGGCCCACUCCCACUGCCAUUCAGCACCACAGCAGGAGAAAGAGGCCUAAUAAAUAACUACUGGGGAGAGGUGUUGGAGGAACACCAGGGUCUGGCCCACUCCCACUGCCAUUCAGCACCACAGCAGGAGAAAGAGGCCUAAUAAAUAACUACUGGGGAGAGGUGUUGGAGGAACACCAGGGUCUGGCCCACUCCCACUGCCAUUCAGCACCACAGCAGGGGAAAGAGGCCUAAUAAAUAACUACUGGGGAGAGGUGUUGGAGGAACACCAGGGUCUGGCCCACUCCCACUGCCAUUCAGCACCACAGCAGGGGAAAGAGGCCUAAUAAAUAACAACUGGGGAGAGGUGUUGGAGGAACACCAGGGUCUGGCCCACUCCCACUGCCAUUCAGCACCACAGCAGGGGAAAGAGGCCUAAUAAAUAACUACUGGGGAGAGGUGUUGGAGGAACACCAGGGUCUGGCCCACUCCCACUGCCAUUCAGCACCACAGCAGGGGAAAGAGGCCUAAUAAAUAACAACUGGGGAGAGGUGUUGGAGGAACACCAGGGUCUGCCCCACUCCCACUGCCAUUCAGCACCACAGCAGGGGAAAGAGGCCACAAAAUAAAACAAUUAUCAACCUGAUAUUGGAUAAGUAAAUAAAUACAUUAAGGCUGGUUCAUAGAUAGAAAUCUUAUUUUACAAUGCUCCAGUGAAGCGAGGCCCACGCCAUGCAUUUAUGAAAGUGCUUGUUUCCAGAGAUUAAAUUAUAUCUCUCUACAGUUUUACUGGAUGAUAAUAAAUGAUGUUUAUUAUAAUUGGACCUAUCUUGGGGACGUGACUCACGUCAUGUGUGAUAUACGUGGCUUAUUGAUAACUACUCUGUUUCCUACUAUAGACAGUUGGCUGCCUAGUGAUUGAAACAUUUUAACUGAUGUGAAUAGUUGGCACACACCCUACACCAAUGUCCCAGAGGAUUUAUUAUGAAGUAUAUUUGUUUGCCUUAGAAGUUGGAGAAUAUGCAUUUUUUCACAAUGGAUGUUUUUUGUGUGUUUUUUUACAAUUUGGCCAGUAACAAUUUUAUUUAUCCGCUUUUCUUAUUUUACCAAAUGUCGGAAUUUACCGUCUAACGGAAACCCUGACACGCA
Oncorhynchus keta (chum salmon) is the source of this 5461-nucleotide long non-coding RNA. RefSeq lists it as uncharacterized. Lineage: Eukaryota; Metazoa; Chordata; Actinopteri; Salmoniformes; Salmonidae. The transcript has 6 exons. The record is from RefSeq and is a predicted model, not a curated record.